CGAAGCAUGCCCCAGGGCAGCCAUGACUUGCUCGGCUUCAGACAGCGAGAAGAUUGUGAUAAACUGCGGCGGGAUCCGACACGAAACCUACCGGAGCACUUUGAAGACAUUGCCCGGGACGCGUUUGUCUUGGCUGACCGAGCCCGAUGCCUUCAGCAACUUCGAUUACGACCCUAAGUCGGACGAAUUCUUUUUCGAUCGCCAUCCAGCUACCUUCGCUUUCAUCCUAAAUUACUACCGCACGGGUAAGCUCCAUUGUCCGAACGAUGUCUGUGGACCAUUAUUUGAAGAGGAGCUCGCCUUUUGGGGCAUUGAUGAGACUGACGUGGAGGCGUGCUGCUGGAUGAACUACAGGCAGCACCGCGACGCAGAGGAAGCCUUGGACAGCUUUGAGACUCCGGAGCCAGACGUACCUGAGGAUGACCCGGCGCUCACCGGCGGAGUGGAUGGAGACCUAAAGCGGCUUUGCAUGCAGGAGGACGGCCGCAAAGCGACUUGGUGGGAAGUAUGGCAGCCCAGAAUGUGGGCGCUGUUCGAGGACCCUUACUCUUCCAAAUACGCCCGGUAUGUGGCCUUGGCCUCGCUGUUCUUCAUCCUUCUCUCGAUCUCCACCUUCUGUUUGGAGACCCAUGAGGCUUUCAAUACCAUCUACAACAAAACAGAGAAUGUCACUACUGGCAACGUAACACAUGAGGAGAUUGUAUAUGAAGUUGUGACAGAUGGCUGGCUGACAUAUGUGGAGGGUGUCUGUGUCAUCUGGUUCACCAUUGAGGUGGUGGCCCGGGUCAUCUUUUGCCCUGACAAGGCAGAGUUCUUCCGUAGCACCCUUAACAUCAUAGACUUUGUGGCUAUUGUUCCCUUUUACCUGGAGGUAGCACUUAGUGGCCUAUCCUCUAAAACAGCCAAAGAUGUGUUGAGCUUCCUACGUGUGGUACGUUUUGUCCGUAUCCUGCGUAUAUUCAAGCUAACCCGCCAUUUUGUCGGUUUACGGGUUUUGGGCCACACUUUGCGGGCAAGUACCAAUGAGUUCUUGUUGCUAAUCAUUUUCCUGGCGCUGGGCGUCCUCAUCUUUGCUACUAUGAUCUACUAUGCUGAACGUAUUGGAGCUGACCCUAAGGAUCCAACUGCUGCAGCCCACACCAACUUUAAGAACAUUCCCAUUGGCUUCUGGUGGGCUGUGGUGACAAUGACUACUCUUGGAUAUGGAGAUAUGUACCCGGAAACAUGGUCGGGAAUGCUAGUGGGUGCCCUAUGUGCCUUGGCUGGUGUGCUAACCAUUGCUAUGCCUGUGCCUGUUAUUGUCAACAACUUUGGGAUGUACUACUCGCUGGCCAUGGCAAAGCAGAAGCUUCCAAAGAAAAGGAACAAGCACAUCCCAAGAGCGCCACAGCCAGGAAGUCCUAAUUACUGCAAGCCAGAUGCUCUGGCAAUGGCAACUGCUUCUCCACAUAGAUUAAUGGGCAAUGUAAUUGGGCCAGGCUUGGUGGAAUCUGGAAGCAUGAUAGGUACUGGAGACUGUCCAUUGGCACAGGAAGAGAUCAUUGAAAUAAACAGAGCAGACUCUAAGCAGAAUGGUGAUGCAGCUGCCAAUGCAGCAGCUCUGGCCAAUGAGGACUGUCCUACCAUAGACCAGGUUCUUGGGGAUGAGCGCAGUCCAGUCACUGGAGGACUUGGCUCUAACACCAGCCGUGAACGGUACCCACACGACCGUGCCUGCUUUCUUCUGAGUGCUGGGGAGUUUCAGCGAACCACAGAUGGGAACGUUCGGAAAGUCGGAGGCACCAUGAAUGGCUACUGGAGUGACAGCCCAUGGUAGAAGAGCAGACGCCAAAUGCCAGAAAAGAAGAAGGGAACAACGAGGAGGAAUAUUGAAAAAUGGCUGAGAUUAAAAGGAUUGCAGAGUUUGCCCUGACCUGCAUCUACCUCUCAACAAAGAUGCAUCCAUAUUUUCCAACCUGGAUUUAUUUCUUUUGCUUUUUUUAGUUUUAAAGAAAGACACCAAGAGAUAAAUGUUUUCACGUUUACUUUGGUAUUCAUUAGGAUUAAUCUGUCUCAGCAUCUUUGUCAUAAUUUUUCUCUAUAAAGACUUCUAAAGAUUAUGCUUUUUACACAAGAUUGUUGUGCAGAAAUUGUGCAACAGGCCAUGAAGUAAUGGUGAUGGAGGGAAGCUGAGCUGCCCCGACUCCUGCUCUUACAUUCAUCCCUCACCACUUAUGCUGUUCUGGGAGAGAGAAAAUAAGAUUUUAUUAAAUCAAACAUUUGAUUCCUUAUGAUUGAAUAGCUUUUAUUAAGGCAGGCAUCAGUGUUUGCUGGAUAUAUUUUAAAAAAUAGAAUUUUCUUCCUUAUUGACACCUGAGACCACAGUUUAGGAUGAUUUGAUAAAUGCAGAGCUUGAAUUUAUUAAAGCAGAGCUUUUAUUAAAUGCAUUUAAUAUGCAAAUCUUGAAAAUCCAGUUAAAGCUGCGUACUGAGAUCAGAGCUACAUCUACAAUUUGAUUUCAACUUGUGAAGAAAAUAAGUUCAUGUGAUACAACCUCAAAGCUACAGACUCUGUUGCAGAGGACAGUUAAAAGUUAAAGGGCCACUAAUUCAACACUAACUGACAAAUAAACAUUCCAUUACAAAACAUGGAACUACAAGCAGAAACAGGAACCCCUAAUGCUACAUGCAUUCAUUAAAGUAACAUCACAGCCAGUUGCAUCAUUUGACUAAAAAGGAGAAAUUGUGCAAGAAAAAAAGUUACUUUUUUAUAUUGUAUGUUAAAGACAGACAUAUACAAUUCCCACUCUUCAUUGUCUCUUUAUGGUCAAAUGUUCCUUAUGACUGCAUCAGUCACUUUACCUGAGGGUUCUGCUUGUCACAACACUGUAAAUAUGUAGACGAUUUGCAUGGUCUUCCAACGCAAGCAGCAAGUACAGAUAUGUGAAUAAUAAUGUAAGAAAGCUCGGCAUUUUAGUUUAAAACAUAAGCAAUGUAUAUAAAACAUUUAGACUGCUGUAAGAGUGUGUGCGUCUGGACGCAUACACAUAGCAUACAUUGGCAUGCAGAACAAAGCUACUGUUAUCUCAGUGAAUGCAGGAAGAAACAGGAGGGGCUGAAAUGAUGCAUGUUAGUGGGAACAGAUGAACCUCGCUACUGUAAUGGGGACGGGUGAGGGAGGGACAGAUUAUUUUUUCAGGAAGGGAAGGGGAGCCAUUUCUAGUAACUGCUAUGAAGCUGCUUUGUUAUAGAUGUUGAGAUACUUCAUUUUUAUUUGCUUUUCUAUUCAAGAGAUGUUGAGAAAGCUAUGUAUUUUUCAGAUAUAUGCAAGUAGAAGCAGAAGUUGAACUAAUUCAGUGAAAAUAAAAAAUAUUAAAAAUUUUCUCAACUCCUCUGCUGCAACUGAAAAAAGAAAACUCUCUCUUUCCAAGACUGCUUCUCACCAAAGUUUCUGCAUUCAUAGUUUGGACACAUCAUUCUAACUGUUAGUCUGCAAUGCCCUGAUGUCUAUGGUGUCACUUAAACUACAGUGAGUUCAGAAGAUAAAAGCAUCUGUAAGGAAAAUUAUAUUUGUAAUUAUUUUAAUGCAGAAAACACUAUAAGGGUGUAUGACUGUUCACUACUAUUUUGCCACAAUUGUAAUUUAACUUUUAAUUCAUGUUCCAGAAGUGAGUGUGUAUAAGAGACAGAAUUUAACUAAGAAGACAAAUUUCUGAAAUUAUGAAAUGAUUUCAUUUGACAUUAGAGUUUGUUGAGCUUCUUUCCAUUGCACUGUUUUUUUUUUUUCAUUCACUGACAACUCAGGUAUCUAUUUUCCACUACUUUCCUUGUGAUUCCUUUCUGCAAUGUUUUCCAACUUUAUGCAUUGUAUGUAUAGAAAAAAGAGUGGAGAAGAAGAAAUGAACUCUUUUGUGCAUGUUUCUACCACAUGCUGUGGUCACCUCGCUCCAAAAUGCUAUUUUACCUUCACUAUUCAAUUAUGUAUCCUGGCUCCUUGCUCCUUGUGACGUCCCCUUGCCUUCACAUCCCAAAUAAUAGAAGAUCACUUUUGUGAGACACCAGCCUUUUAUGCACAUAGUGCAAUUACAUAAAAUGGCUAAAUGAACUACUUUUUGCAUAUGAAUAGAAAAAAAGCUGACUUAAAAGGGGAUUUAACUGAGGAGGAGACAGGAAAAGAAAAUAAGCUGAUGAAAAAACAGUGACAUGUUAUUGAAGAGGUAACAAGGUGUAAGUGCUUUAAAUGAUGUGUUCUGAGUAGUCUAUCAACUGAGCAACAUCGAAGAGAGGAGAUGGAGAAGGAAAAGUUCUGGGCAAGACAGAAAAGUGUGAUGAAAUGAUGGAGGACAGAAAGAAACAGAGGAAAAUUCCCUUCAUCAUUGCUGAGCUUCUAACUCAACCAACACUUUCUCAUCAUGAAGAGGACAACAGUAAAUAUCUCAUGUGCUGCUGUUCAACUUUUUUCCUAAUAUUUUCAGUGCAGAAACUGAAAAAUUAUCAAGAGGAAAAAACGGAGUUUUACGUUCUCACUACUUCCAUUAUCAUAUUCUACAGAAAAGAGGUAUGAAAUCCUUCCACCACUUUUGAAGCAAAUGAAGCACAGAAGAAGCUUCACAAAUGAAUAUCAUGAGAUUUGGGUCUGGAGGUCACUAUUCCCACAGCUCCAUAUAUUUAUUGCUUUACAGAUGACAUAUUUUGUUUGAAGGAACUCCAGUCAUAUCUUUUGGUUUAUGUAGCUGUUAUAUCAGUUCAGCUCUACUGAGGACGAUAAAAGCUGAACUAAGCUUCCUACUGCUCCACUCACACUGAUCUGUACUCAGCUACCAGACCUACAAGAAAACACUGAAGUCUAGUAGAUUUCAGAAAAUACAAGCCAUCUUUCCAAUCUUGCAGUGCAUUUUGAAUGUCUUCUUGACAUGUCCCUAAAGUCCUAAUGCUGUCCAUUUUCACCAACUUUGACAGAAUUUAACCAAAGACAGACACUUGGAUGGGCAAAUCAGAUGGUACAAGCAGGAGCUCACUCAAAUUCUCAUGACAAGCAAGAGUCUUUCACUGAGGAUUAAGAUUUAACUGGAUCAUUUUUGCUUUUUCCAACAUUAUGAUAUCUUUCCAUGCCACCUCCACCACCUUCUCUGCAACUCAGCAUUGAAGCUGCUCCUCAUCUCCAGAAAAUGUUGCAUGGCAUGAAUUGAAACAAUUUAAAACAGGAAAAUGCAAUCAGAGGAAUGAAUAAAAUCCAGAGAAUAGGUCAGUGGGUGAAAUAUUAUAUAUUUUUCCACUUAGUAAUUUUAGAAAAAAAUGCAUAUUUUGCCUUGAACCCCACGACUUGCUGUUAAAAUAAUAAGAAAAAAAAAAAACAUAUCCUACUGAAAACAGCACUUUCUGGAGACACAAUGAAUGAAGAAGCACUUCUGUGUCCUUUUUUUUUUCAAAUGAAGAGGAACAGAGAUCCUGCAGACCAUGCUCCUCCCGGAAUGUGAAAGAAGAUAAACUUUAAGACAGCAGGUUGUCAACAAUAUUAGAACAUCUCUGCUAAGCUAUUCUAGGAAUAGAAAUGACAAUGACUUUUCAAGACAUUGUUUACCAGCAUGAAUAUUUUGCAUGACUCCUGCAAGUCACUCUGAUCUCUCCUUAUGAAUAAUAAUUCUACAAAUUUAAGUGUGUUUACUUUAAACUGUGUUUAAAUGCCACAGACUGUACUGACAAAACAUUCAUUUUUGGAUGUAGUAAGAUCCCUAUGCUCAAAAAAUUCUGUGCUUGCUACAAAAAAGAUAGCUACAUCAUACAUGGAAACCCUUUUAAAAAAAAUGCAAGUAUAUGUUUUAGUAUAUUAGAACAUUGUAGUACAUUCUUCUGUUUCUCAUACUAUUUCCAAUAUGGCUGCUUUUUUACUUUCUCCCCACAGCAUUUCUUCCUAUUUUUCUUCUUGUAGCUUUUACUCAAACUUUGAACUAUACAAUGGCAGCUGUGUGUGCCUGUGCCAGUUACCGGAUGCAAACAUAUUAUUUUAAACUAAACUGUGCUGUCACUGUUUCUGAGAGUCUGAGCUGAAAGUGUCUACUGUCCCUUUAUGUGGUUCUUCCUGUCUGACCCUGGUAUCUAUGGUAUUAACCUGUUCCAUGUAUUUCCAGAGGGAUUUUUCCCACCACAGCUUUUCUGUUUGUUUAUUUGACAUUAUAAUAUGUCUUUUUCAGGUACUGGGAUUAAUAACUUGAGAACAAUAAUAACAAUAAUAUAUGUUGUGCAAGUUGCAUAAAAAAGACCUUAAAUUAAGAACAAACACACAGAUGUAGGCAAUAUUUUAGGCAAAUCUAUGUCACAAAGCUGGCAUAGUAUUAACAUUUGAAACUUCUAGUUCAAAUACUUUUCCAGCCCUUCAGUUUUACUGCCAAAGUACACUACUGGCCAAAAAAAACCCAGUCACCUUCUGAAUCUAACUAAGCAAAAAGGUUCGAGCCUCCUGUUGGAUGAUUAAUGCAUGGGCAAUUAUGUUUCAGCUGGCAACGAGUUAUUUAACCCCAACUGGUGCAAUGAGUUGCUUCUCAUUUCAACCUGGAGAGACUCACACAGAGAAAAACAGCAAUUAGGAAGUUUUAUUGACUUAAAUGAAUUAAAGUUCUUUGGCAGUCGAACCCUGGCAGAAGACAUUGUGCUGUGAAUUGCGAUAAGCUUGUUAUGAAUUAGCGAUGAUGAUUUGAGACGUCUUCCCCCGGGGCCCAUACACUGGAGGUCGGAAAAAGGAAUGUAGCCUGAAGGAGCCAGGAGCAGAGAGGUGGAGAAGGGGUGGAGGUGAACUGAGCAUGGCUGGAAAGCAGAUGGUAUCAUGGAUGAAGAUCCUCAUAAAUGGAUGAGUGAAUGAUGAUUGGCUAUGACGGGGCAUGGUCCAAUGCUAAUAGGCUGUGGUGUAUGAACAACAACCUAUCAGGUGGUUGACCUGUGUCAUCCACCUGCGAUUGGAUGACACAGGUGAGGCUGAAGAGUUUUUCUGUUUGAAUUUACGUCUAGGCUUCAUUUCUUAAACAACCACGUCUAAAGACAAAUCCUGUGGUCGUGGAAAAGAUGUCAGUCUGUUUGAGAAGGUCAAAUCAUUGAUAUGCAUCAAGCAGAGAAAACAUCUAAAGAGAUUUCUUAAACUACUGAAACUGGGUCAAGAACUGUCCAACGCAUUAUUAAAAACUAGAAGGAUAAUGGAGACCAAUUUUCUUCAACGAAGAAAUGCGGAUGGAAAAAAAUCAUGAAUGAUUGUCAUUGGUGAUCACUUAAUGUUUUGGUGAAAUGAAAUUAAAGAAAAACAGUAGAACCCAGUCUAUGUUUAACAGUGAAAGUAAAAACAUUUCCACACGCAGAAUGUGAAGGGAAGUCAAGGCACUGGGACUGAACAGCUCUAUAGCUUUGAGAAAACCACUGAUCAGUGAAGCUAACCGGAAAAAAGCUUCAAUCUGCUAGGGAGCAUAAAGAUUGGACUCUGGAGCAAUGGAAGAAGGUCAUGUGGUCUGAUGAGUCCAGAUUUACCCUGAGUUCCAGAGUGAUGGGUGCAGCAGAGUAAGAAGAGAGACAGGUGAAGUGAUGCACCCAUCAUACCUAGUGAUUACUGUACAAGCCUGCGGGGGCAGUGCUAUGAUCUGGAGUUUCUGCAGUUGGUCAAGUCCAGGUUCAGCAACAGCAUGUGCUCACAGAAUGAGGUCAGCUGAUUACCUGAAUGUACUGAAUGACCAGGUUAUUUUUUCACCCCUGUUGACAGGGAAUAUUCCAAGAUGGAUUUAUGGGGGUCGAAUUGUAAAAGACUAGUUCAGGGAGCAUGAGACAUCAUUUUCACACAUAGAUUGGUCACAACAGAGUCCAGACCUUAACCCCAUUGAGAUGUGCUGGAGAAGGCUUUGCACAUCAGUCAGACUCUAUCAUCAUCAAUGCAAGACCUUGGUGAAACUGGAUAGAAAUAAAUCUUGUCACAUUCCAGAAGCUUAUCGAAACAAUGACACAGUGGAUGUGUUCUGUAAUCAAAGCUAAUGACGGUCCAACAAAAUAUUAGAGUAUGUGAAUUUUUUUGGCCAGGCAAUGUAUAAAGUAGGGUCAUUGACUUGUCUAGAUAUCCAUACAUACAAAUUAAAAAAAAAAAACCUUUAAAAAUGAACUCACAGCAUUUAGUUACAGAAUGAUCCAAUAAAAUGAAAUGUAUCUCCCAACAUUCAUAGAAACUCCUUUAUUUAUUGUCAAACAAGCAGUCGUAUUGCACUAAGGUUUCCAUUCAAAUUCAGAUGUUGCUCUUAGGUUUUCCCUGAAAAAGGCAUGAAUUUCCUCAAGCUAUGUAUAACUUACACAAGUGUAUCAUUAAUACAUUUUGGAAAUAAGCAACAAGUCCAAAAACAGCAAAAAAUGUGUGUAAUGAAGCCAACUGAAGAAGUUUAGAAUUUUCUGUGUGCAAACAAAAACUCUCUGUCAGGAACUGGGACUGAAGCAAGUGAAACAUUUUAGAGGAAGUGGAAGAUUCUUGCUUUGUUUUUUGUUUUGUUACCAGCAGCUCAGAGUGGAAACCAAUUGAUUUGCUUUCAUCAUGUUAAAAAGACAACAGUAUGUUUUCCUGAAAUGAGUUGGGUCUGUGAGCUGCUAAUUCACUCAAGUACAGCAAUUAAUAAGAAAAGAAAUGGUGCAAUAACAAUAGAGGCAGAAAUGCGGAGUAAAAACAAAACAAAAAAACCUUGAUAAGUUGAGAGGAUAUUGAUUUGGCCAACUACCCACAGCAUUUCAUCAACCUUCUGGAUAGAUUGAGAACAAUUUUAUAUAAGACACAUUUAUUUUUGCAGUUAUUUGAUACUCAAAUUUCACCUGAAGAUUUGUAUAAUAUACAGUAUAUGUUCUGUAUCAUGUAGUGUUUGGUUUGUCUGAAGGUGCUGUGUGUGAGCUGUUCUGGAGUUGUGACAGCAAAUUUAUUGGAAACUUUAAAGAGAAAUAGAGAGUCCAUGUCAGCAAUGAGGGUUCAGGUCUAUUCAUCUCUUUGCCUUUGCAUAAUGUGGACUUUUGGUCCUUCCAUAUAAGGAUGGGGUAUUUACCACAAGACAUUUCAUACUAUGCAUUCUAUGACAUUUCAUACUAUGCAGUCAUCAUGGGACUAUUAUUCAUGUCUAAUUCAGUCACCAAUGAUUUCAAGUCAUUUUCUAUAAUCUAAGACUAGUCUACUAUCAGAAAAUGCAAUUAUCUGUCUGCAUGAAGCAAUCUAUUUUGAUUUGAUCAAAAUAUUGAAACAUAAUGAUACUUCAAUCAAUAAGCCCAAAUGGGGAUCAGAACUAGGUUUAAUGGAAACAGGGUUUUACUUUAAGUCUUCAGAAAAUAGACAAAUACAUUCAAAUAAAUGUGAAAUUCUCUUUUAACUACAUUUAACUACCUAGAAGUAUAACCUGAUACCCAACGGAUGUGUAAAUGAAAUGGUGUGCUGAGUGGUAUGUCAGGUGACUGAGUUGGGACAAAAUGGCAGCUCAAGUGUAUGGAUUGAGGUAUAAAUUGGCAAAGGGGUAAAUUGACCUGGAGCCUGAAAAUCGUCUCAGUAUUCUGUUUUUUUCUUUGUUCUUUUAUCAUGUGUAUGCCUUUUAUUUUGCACCACAUAAACUUUCAAAAUAUUUUAUCUAAAUUUUCCUCCCCAGCAUCUUGCUUUCCUCUAAGAAAGUUAAGUAAAUAAUGAUUAAAAAUCUCUCGACAGUAAUAGACAAGAAAUGAUGUUAAAUAUUUCUUUGCUAAGGGCUAUAGAAGUCUUUCUAGAAUUCUAGUACUUUUGGUAAACUUGCUAUAAAAGUAUUUCCUAAUGUUUUGCAAUGAAAGUUUAUACAAAAUCUUCGCUUAAAAUAUUUAAAUCAGGGUUGAUUUUGGUUGGAUAAGUACUAAGAAAAACUUAGUCAUUUGUGUCCUUUGUGUAUUUGAAUAAUUGCAAACCUGCUCAUGCCUCUGCAAGCAAGAUGAAACAUUGAGUUUCAGAAAGACACUGGAAUAAUUUGAGUUUGGAAACUGGAGUUCCAUGAAGGUUUGCAAACUUUAAACUAUGUCAUAUCUGAUAAACAUAAACUGUAACAUUUACUUGAUUUGCAACAAGUCUAACUAAAUGAAGUGAUAAAAGAUUGCUUUUGCUGUUAUUUUAUUUUUGCUGUUAUAUUUGCAUAUUUCUUUGUUUUAUGUGGAGGGUUAUAACAAAUGGCAUAUUAACUAAAUCAAAAGAGAACAACUCUCAGGAAUAUUUUGUAUAAAAAUCAGACAUACAAUGUGAAAUAUUAUGAUGCUGCUGUAUAUAUUUUCAAGGUCAUUGAUGCUAACUUCAGAUGAAUAUUCUGAUUAUUUCAAACUGUUGAUCUGGAUCUGUCCAACUUUACUUGAAGUCUUGAGGUAGAUAUUUCAGUCAAAGCUGUAUCAAGCUGCCCCUUCAGACCGCUCCAAUGUGCUUCACCUUCGAAAGGAUCUAAAAGGAAGUUACAACCUCUUAUGUUAAAUUUAUCAAGCGAAUGUUUUCAUCUCACAAUACUGUUCUGUAUUUGCUUCAAACAGAAAAACAUCUGAACAUCAGUGACAUCAUUUUGUUGCAUGUAAUUUUAAAACUGUGAUCACAAAUAGAACGAUAAGUGCAUCUAUAAAGACUUUGAAACAAAAGCAUGCACUGAACAUACUUAAAAGCCUAUGCAAGAACUAAGUUUAGCUUUUGGUUAUUGCUUUCCAAGAAACACCUGGUCAUGUGUCACAGAUGUCUUGGUCAGUUCAGUAAGGUGGAGGAAUUUCUGACUGUAGUGACUUACUAGUGCAGCCCUACCUUCAUUUAUUGUUUUUUGUCAAAAAAAUGUUCAAAGUUUCAGAAGAUAAAAUUUUCUGAAACUUAGUUGGUUGUAAAAAGAGCCUCAAAUCUGCUGUAUCAAGGGAUGUAAAAGGAAGGCAGAUUUUGUUGUUUUGUUUGUCAGAAGAGCAAGUUUAUUUACAAGAUUCCCAUCAUGCAUCUGUUUUGUCCAACUUUGAUUUAGAGAGCAUUUCACAUUCAUGCUCAAUGUAUAAGACCUAUUUGUGUUUUUUUUUCCAUGUGUGUUAAAAUGUGCGUUUGUGCAAAAACAUUUGAAUUUAUUUUUCAGGAAGUAACCACUGGGUUGAAUUAGGUAAGCCGUGAGCUUUUACUUUGAGCUAACCUAUAAUGAAUGCUUGAUUUUAAUUAUUAUAAUGGAUAAACAUUUAAAUAAUGGAACUCCAUUAUUUCCAAAUCACUGUAAAGUAUUUUUUAUAAUUUAUUCCUCACUUCAAGUGAAUCUACCUUUUGUUUGGUCUUCUGAAGAAAUACAGUGAGGCUGUCCAAUAGUGACCCAUGCAAGCUCUCUGACAUCCUGAUAAUAAUCUAAUAUAAUAAAUGAUCACUGUUCAUUUAGACUCAGAAUUUCCAAAUCACAGGUCUGUUAUCAUUGUUCAUUCAACAUAUCUGUGAUAAAAAGGACUUUUAGUUUUAAAAUUUGCAAUGAGUUCCAGCAGUAAUCUCUCUUCUAUAUGACUUCAGGUUGAGGGAAAGGCAAAACUUUUGACCUCAUCCCCUUCAUGUCUCCGUCUCUUGCUCCUGAGCCAUAAGUUGCUAUAUGUGAAUUUGUUGUUUUCUACAAAUUGUUUUAGAUUCAUUCCAAAUGCAUGUGCAGGACACCGACUAAACUGACCUUAAUGUAAAUGUUCUUUUGAAAGGAAGUCUUUCCUCUGCUGAUAAAAAAGUUAUCUCUUCUUCUUUUCGCUGUGAGAGGAGAAAGCAAUUUUAUGGAUUAACAGGAGUACACAGUGUCAGAGUAAAGUGUGCAAAUGGAUUGAGCUUCACAAGUUUUGUGUUUUGAGAUUUCAACAGCAGAUUGAAAUGGAGCAGAUGAAUGUCUCAGUUUUCAGCAGUGCUUUAAGUGGAACAAAAGACAUGCUGUUAGGUACAUCUGUCUCUUCACAUAGAGAUCAAAGGUAUUAUUGUACAGAAAUGAGAAAGAAGCAAAUUUCAGUGUCAUGGAGGCACUUUUAUUAACUUAAAGCCUCAAUGGUGUUAACAUGGACAUAUAAAACAAUUAAAGAUAUAAAAUAAAAGCUUCUUAAAGACAUAAAGAAGUGAAAGACUUGAGUUUUUACUGUUGCGGGACAUAUAAAAUGUAUACUACCAAUGGACUAAGACUCAUUUAACGUUUCCAAAAUUCCCAUUCCGCUGUGGGGUAACAUUUAAAAGUGCUUCUACUGCGUACCGAUGCAUACUGGCCCACUUAAAGCACUGACUUUCAGAAUAAAAGUUGACAUAGUCAUGGUAUUUUUUUACCCACUUCCUCCUCCUUGUUUUUACAGCAAUCCUAUUAUCAUUUUUUAAUCAAAAAUAAAUUGUAUGUUUGCCCUGUUGAUUUUGUGAUCACAAUAAAGAGACAGAAAAUAAAUUCCCUUAAUGAUGAGAGGCUUCCAACAACUAAUGAAUGAGUUUAUGCAAUAAAGAUGCUGAAUCUGAGUAUAUUGUCAAAACACUGGAGAGAAAAAAAAGUACAAAGUAUCUUCCACUGUACACAAUGUAUUUUGAUUGAAUGUCAAGCCUGGUAUUUACAUUUUCUAUUUUUAAACAUGUAAAAAUGAAUACAAAUGUUGAAAAGAGACUUAUAAAAAAGCUAUGCUGUAAAAGAAAACACCAAGUUCUGACUGAAUGCUGAUUUACUUGAUCAACUACCCGUUUAAAGAAUAGGAUGAAUAAAAGAACUUAAGAAUAUUACAUUAAAAAAAUGUUUGGAAAAAAAUAACACAUUCAGUUGAAUGAGAAAACUUCAGACAACAAAUAAAAAUAUGACUUUAAGAAAUUUUA
RNA transcript from Xiphophorus couchianus (Monterrey platyfish), 12783 nucleotides. It is a transcript of the gene named potassium voltage-gated channel subfamily C member 1-like, with no coding region annotated. The transcript has 6 exons. Lineage: Eukaryota; Metazoa; Chordata; Actinopteri; Cyprinodontiformes; Poeciliidae. The record is from RefSeq and is a predicted model, not a curated record.